Pan troglodytes (chimpanzee) is the source of this 117-nucleotide non-coding RNA. It matches the Rfam family "Metazoan signal recognition particle RNA". From Rfam's summary of the family: The signal recognition particle (SRP) is a universally conserved ribonucleoprotein. The record is from Rfam. NCBI's taxonomy places the organism in Eukaryota, Metazoa, Chordata, Mammalia, Primates, Hominidae.
GCCGGGUGUGGUGGCUCAUGCCUGUAAUCCCAGCACUUUGGGAGGCUGAGGCAGGUGGAUCACUUGAGGUCAGGAGUUCGAGACCAGCCUGACCAACAUGGAGAAACCCUGUCUCUA